This 45-nucleotide non-coding RNA is filed under the name Echinostoma caproni. Lineage: Eukaryota; Metazoa; Platyhelminthes; Trematoda; Plagiorchiida; Echinostomatidae. The record is from RNAcentral.
GCACUGCCGACGAGUCCCGAACAGGACGAAACAGCUCUCCAGUGC